This 2364-nucleotide long non-coding RNA is filed under the name Marmota monax (woodchuck). The stretch from base 1877 to 1948 matches the Rfam family "tRNA". Lineage: Eukaryota; Metazoa; Chordata; Mammalia; Rodentia; Sciuridae. The record is from RNAcentral.
GGUAGAGGGCACUAUGUCACCUGCCUGAGCUCACCCCUCGAGCGCAGCAGCUGGGACCUGAAGCUCGGGUUAACCAUUAACCUCCUCCCUGGGGUCAGGAGCCGGGUGCAGGUCCCAGCGUGUGCUGGAAACCCGGUCAGCAUGGGGCACCUCGGUCCCCACACUCCUCCACCGGGGACGGAGGAUACCUCCUGCUCGGUCUCUGGGCCUGAGACUUGGUGGGGAUUAGGAGAGGAGGAGGGUGCGGAAGAGGGUGGCCUUGGAGUUGGAGUCAGUGUUUUUACUGCUGUGACCCAAAGACCUGGUAAGGACCACGUGGGAGAGUAAAGGUUGGUUUGGGGCUCACGGGUUCAGAGGUCUCUGUUCAAAUGCGGCCGGCUUCCUUUCUCUGGUCCCAAGAUGAGGCAAAACAUCAUGGCAGAGGGUGUGGCAGAGGAAAACAUCUCAGGACAUGGCCGUCAGGAAGCAGAGAGAGAGCGCCACUCACCAGGACAAAAUAUAUCCAGAGGCACAUCCCAGCCACCGGCCUCCGCCAGCCCUGCCCGGCCUGCCUGCAGCUGGACCCAGGGGGUCCCUUCAGGAAGAUCCACGCACUGACCAGGGCAAGGCUCUCCUGACCCCAUCAUGUCACCUCUCUGCUCUCGUCUCACACACGACCUUCUGAGGACAUCUAAACCGUGACACUGGGCAAGCGGUCUCCUCUCCCAGGGCCUCAGUCCCCUGUGUCCUGUGGUUAUCUACCUGUUGGACCUUCAGGAUAACCAGGGGCCUGGGGACUCUUCAGGGAUCCUGUGGAGGACGGGAGCCAGGAAUUGGCCCCUACCUGUCCUUUUUUUUUUUUUCCCCAGGGACAUGACUUGGGAAGGGAUAGGGAUGGGGAGGUCAUUGUCUGCCAACGGGCUCCCCCGGGGCGGUCCUUCUCCUCUCUGAGCCCUGGUCUUGGACCUGGGUGGUUUCUGGGGACGGCAGGGAAGCUCACAACCUCUCAGCUGCUGGGAGCAGAGGGGAAGGCUUGGGUUUCGAGAUCUCUGGGGUCAGGGAACCUCAACAAAUGCAGAGACAACUACCCCCUGAGUCCCAUUGUGGCUUCCCUGGGCAUUUCCCUGACAUGGGGCGGGGGUGGGGAGGAGAGGGAGGACAGAACAGGAGGGGACACUUUGUUCCAGCUUACUGAGCCCCCGUGGCGUGCUGGGCGCUGACCUGAGCCAUCUGCAUCAUGACCCCUUUAAGACCCACAGGUGAAGCCUCAUUAGUCCCCAGGAGGAAAUGAAGACCCCAGCGGGAAGGGGAGGUCCAUGGUCAGAGCCACGAGGUGCGGAGGUGGGGCUCACACUGUGGUCCUCUGGGACAUCUACCCUCAGAUGGUCUCCAAAUGCCCUGGAGGGAAAGAGGGAGCUGUCCCCUCCUGUCCUCUCUGUUCCUCUUACCCCAGGCCAGGUGGCAUCUUGUUCUAGCUUGGAGCUCAGCAGAGGGCUUCCUGACGAGUGGGGGCUUCCUGGCCUCCCGGGGGUCCACCUGGGCCUCCUGCCUUCCCUCCUGCCCCUCCUGCUGACCGGGCCACCAGGGUUCCUGUGGUGGGGUUUCCUGGUGCACAGGUAGGGCCCGGCCUGGGUGGGACAAGCAGGUGGCUGGUGACUUUCCUCUCUCCUGCCUGGCUUCAAACGUUGGUCCCCUCAGUCCCAGGUGGUGCCCUCAAGCAGGUGGGCUCCCUUCCUAGGCCUGUUUCUCCUCCCUUAAAUCCUGGGCCCGUGCCUCAGAGUCAUGUGAGGUAUGAAUCACGCACGUUCUUAUUGUCCUUUUAUCACCAUAGGAUUGUGCACAUGUGGAUCUUCUGUCACUUAUUACCAUUGUUCAUAAAUUCCUAAUCCAGGGGGGCUGGGCUGGGGCUCAGUGGCAGAGCGCUUGCCUGGCAUGUGUGAGGCCCUGGGUUCGAUUCUCAGCUCCGCAUAUAAAUGAAUAAAACAAAGGUCCAUCAACAAUUUAAAAAAUUCCUGAUCCAGGCCAGGUGGCUGUGAUUAUCUUAUUAUACCUUCACAUCCAACUUCAGAAACACUUAAGCUCAAAGGGGGAGACCCUUUUCUUUUUUUUUUGGUACCAGGGAUUGAACCCAGGGGCACUUAACCACUGAGCCACAUCCGUAGCCAUUUUUCGUAUUCUAUUUAGAGACAGGGUCUCGCUGAGUUGCUAAGUGCCUUGCUAAGUUGCUGAGGCUGGCUUUGAACUUAUGAUCCUCCUGCCUCAGCCUCCCGAGUCGCUGGGGUGAUAGGCGUGUGCCACCACGCCCGGCUGGGAGACACUUUUCUAAGGUCACACAGCAAGGAGUAGAGCAGGUGAAGCUGGAUCCAAAUCCAAAUCUUAAGGACU